Molecule: ribosomal RNA, 492 nt
Filed under: uncultured bacterium
Lineage: Bacteria
Description: partial 16S ribosomal RNA
Rfam family: Bacterial small subunit ribosomal RNA
Source: RNAcentral
AGUGAACGCUGGCGGUAGGCCUAACACAUGCAAGUCGAACGGCAGCACAGUAAGAGCUUGCUCUUACGGGUGGCGAGUGGCGGACGGGUGAGGAAUACAUCGGAAUCUACUUUUUCGUGGGGGAUAACGUAGGGAAACUUACGCUAAUACCGCAUACGACCUACGGGUGAAAGCAGGGGAUCUUCGGACCUUGCGCGAUUGAAUGAGCCGAUGUCGGAUUAGCUAGUUGGCGGGGUAGAGGCCCACCAAGGCGACGAUCCGUAGCUGGUCUGAGAGGAUGAUUAGCCACACUGGAACUGAGACACGGCCCACACUCCUACGGGAGGCAGCAGUGGGGAAUAUUGGACAAUGGGCGCAAGCCUGAUCCAGCCAUACCGCGUGGGUGAAGAAGGCCUUCGGGUUGUAAAGCCCUUUUGUUGGGAAAGAAAAGCAGCAGGUUAAUACCCCGCUGUUCUGACGGUACCCAAAGAAUAAGCACCGGCUAACUUCGUG